GGGGGGGGGGGGGGGGGGGGCGGGGGGGGGGGGGGGGGGGGGGGGGGGGGGGGGGGGGCUGCGCGGGCGUUAGCGGCGGAGGGGGGGGGAGCACGGGGGUAACCUACCUAUACGACUGGGGGAACUGCGUGACGCCGGGGGUAAUACCGGAUCAUAUAUUGAACCGCAUGGUGCCAUAGUUCCCGCCGGUUGUUGUGGCACCUAUCAAGACCUCCGCGCCGCAUUCGCUAGUUGGUAUGGUAACGGCUUACCAAGGCAACGAUGCGUAGCCGACCGGAGAGGGUGAUCGGCCACACUGGAACUGAGACACGGUCCAGACUCCUACGGGAGGCAGCAGUAGGGAAUCUUCCGCAAUGGGCGAAAGCCUGACGGAGCAACGCCGCGUGAGUGAUGAAGGUCUUCGGAUCGUAAAACUCUGUUAUUAGGGAAGAACAAAUGUGUAAGUAACUAUGCACGUCUUGACGGUACCUAAUCAGAAAGCCACGGCUAACUACGUG
RNAcentral lists this ribosomal RNA (497 nucleotides) under uncultured bacterium. RNAcentral's name for it is "partial 16S ribosomal RNA". The stretch from base 51 to 497 matches the Rfam family "Bacterial small subunit ribosomal RNA", at positions 39 to 507 of the family's 1533-position model. The record is from RNAcentral.